UACGUAGGGUGCAAGCGUUAAUCGGAAUUACUGGGCGUAAAGCGUGCGCAGGCGGUUAUGUAAGACAGAUGUGAAAUGCCCGGGCUUAACCUGGGAACUGCAUUUGUGACUGCAUGGCUAGAGUUUGGCAGAGGGGGGUAGAAUUCCACGUGUAGCAGUGAAAUGCGUAGAUAUGCGGAGGAACACCGAUGGCGAAGGCAGUCCCCUGGGCCUGUACUGACGCUCAUGCACGAAAGCGUGGGGAGCAAACAGG
This 253-nucleotide ribosomal RNA is filed under the name uncultured bacterium. RNAcentral describes it as "partial 16S ribosomal RNA". It matches the Rfam family "Bacterial small subunit ribosomal RNA", at positions 524 to 776 of the family's 1533-position model. The record is from RNAcentral.